UACCAGCACCCCGAGUGGUCGGGACGAUUAUUGGGCCUAAAGCAUCCGUAGCCGGUCCUACAAGUCUUCCGUUAAAUCCACCUGCUUAACAGAUGGGCUGCGGAAGAUACUAUAGGGCUAGGAGGCGGGAGAGACAAGCGGUACUCAGGGGGUAGGGGUAAAAUCCUCUGAUCCAUUGAAGACCACCAGUGGCGAAGGCGGCUUGCCAGAACGUGCUCGACGGUGAGGGAUGAAAGCUGGGGGAGCAAACCGG
Molecule: ribosomal RNA, 253 nt
Filed under: uncultured bacterium
Lineage: Bacteria
Description: partial 16S ribosomal RNA
Rfam family: Archaeal small subunit ribosomal RNA
Source: RNAcentral